AUACUUACCUGGUAGGGGUAAUGCCAUGAUCAUGAAUGUGGUUUUCCUGAGUGAGGCUUAUACUCCAGAUGGCCUGACUUGCAAUUUCCUCAGAUUCAGGAAACUAGACAAUUUAAUAUGUGAUAGUGGAGGACUGUACUUUCCCCUG
This 148-nucleotide small nuclear RNA is filed under the name Vombatus ursinus (common wombat). RNAcentral's name for it is "U1 spliceosomal RNA (ENSVURG00010004717.1)". It matches the Rfam family "U1 spliceosomal RNA". Rfam says of the family: U1 is a small nuclear RNA (snRNA) component of the spliceosome (involved in pre-mRNA splicing). Its 5' end forms complementary base pairs with the 5' splice junction, thus defining the 5' donor site of an intron. The record is from Rfam by way of RNAcentral. Lineage: Eukaryota; Metazoa; Chordata; Mammalia; Diprotodontia; Vombatidae.